UCCUUGUAAGUUGCUUUGGAUAAAAGCGUCUCCUAAUUGUAAAUGGAGUGUUGUGUCUUAACUGAUAAAUACUGAUGCAAAGAAAAGGACUGAAAUGCUGAAAUUUCAUAAAUAUUUAUUCCAUAUCAAUCAACAAAAAAUGAACUACUUUCACAGCAGUGGUCAACAGCACUUAAUAAAAUAAAACGUUCAAAUAAUAAUCAGAAUAAUUGUUUAGUUUUGUUUGAGGCCACAUUUUGAAACACAAAACAUUUACAAGUAGUACUGUAAGUACUUGGCAUUAAAAACAAUGGCGAUACAAUAUUUUAAGACACUUGGUGUUUUUUGAAGUGUUUUUUUUUCUUUUCUCUUUCGUUUUGAUAAGACCGAGGCUCCGUGACAGUCUAAACAGCACUUACUGACUCACACACGACACCACUGCUAAGAGGACCUCAGAGAAGACAGGGGUGGGUGCAAACAGAACAGGCUGAACAGUCAAACAAAAGAGAGAAAGACAACAGAAGAUAGAAAAAAAAAAAAAAAAAAAAAAGACAAUUUAUAUUUUUUUAUAAUUUGCUUAAUUAACUCUGUGACCAAGAGUCUUCUUCUGCUCAUGCCAGUCACUGCGGGGAUAGAGCUCAUAAAUAACAAGUACAGUUCAUCUGCAAAAAUAUUCCCAUAUUUUUUUUACCUUUUUAAAUCCCGUCCCUUUUUUUCGGACUGCUACUAGUGUUCAAAGAUUUUGUACAAAGAGAGGUGGAAUUGUGAAUGAAUGAUGAACAGAGAGAGAGGAGGAGUGUGAGAAAGGGAGGGAGAAAAAGACACAGACAGAAAGGGGUAGGAGGAGUGGACUAGACAGGUCAAAGAAUAGUUCUGUCUUCUGUCCACAAGAUGGCGCUUCUGUGCCAAACGCCACAGAAAAGAGGACACCUCUAUCCUGUACACACUGCCUUGCAGAUCCAAAGCAAGCAUGCUAACCCUUUAGCUGACAAUACCAAGAGACCCAAACAGCCCUGUAGGCGGUGUGUUCAGUCUAGACAGCUAGCUCUAAACGUGUUUUUGUUUACGGAUAUAAAAGUAUGGCUAAGGCUGAGCAGACGGCCACGUCUGCGUCUCCGUGACGACCUGGCACACUGUCUCCACAAGGCCUGAGGUCCCCACUUUAUCUCCGGUGUCCUUGUCAUGGUCUACUUCAGUGGUUCUCAAACUUUUUGUCCGGGGACCCCAUAAAAUCCAUUUGCCAAGUCUCGCGACCCCCAACACAUUUUGACAGGAUAUUAUAGGUCUAAAUUCAGUUUCAUCUUGAAUGAUGAGACUGCUUGCUGAGAAAAUAUUAGUUUUCAUUAUCCAUCCUGAUGUAGAAAACACCAUUUCUGAUAGACUAUACAGCAUGUCAAAGCCUAAUAUGUUGACGCACAGGGCAGCAAGAUCAUUUCGCGACCCCCAAAAAACGUUUGGCGACCCCACUUGGGAUCCCGACCCCUAGUUUGAGAACCACUGGUCUACUUAACUACGUGAUCAGUAAUCGCAUGUACUUCCCAUGAUAACCAUACUACUAACUACCAUACAUCCCACUAAGCAUCACACUACACUAAAAACCCAAGUUACUCUUGUGAUAGCUGAUGUGCUAACAUGAGAAGUACACUGCACUUAUCAUUCAAUAAUGUAUUAAGUACACAGUACUGAAGGACAAUUCAGCCAAAGUGAGACCAGCCUGUCUCCCUGAGAGGGCUGACCAGACAUCAUCCGCUAGUGUGGAGGUCAAAGGUGAAGGAGGUCAAAGGUGAAGGAGUUCAAAGGUCAAGGAGUUCAAAGGUCAAGGAGUUCGCUAAAGUCUCUCAGCUGAGAGAGGGUUCUAAGUCUAGCGCUAAAUAUCCAGCUCACCAUCUAAUGACUGCACCAAUGUGCAGAGGCAUGCAGGUGUUCGUGUUUGUGAAGCCCUUGGCAGGUGUUUGUUGUGAAGCCUAUGUCAGGUGUUUGUGAAGCCUAUGUCAGGUGUUUGUGAAGUGUUUUUUAAGCCUAUGUCAGGUGUUUGUGAAGCCUAUGACAGGUGUUUGUGAAGUGUUUGUUAAGCUUAUGUCAGGUGUUUGUGAAGCCUAUGUCAGGUGUUUGUGAAGCCUAUGUCAGGUGUUUGUGAAGUGUUUGUGAAGCCUACGUCAGGUGUUUGUUAAGCUUAUGUCAGGUGUUUGUGAAGUGUUUGUGAAGCCUACGUCAGGUGUUUGUUAAGCUUAUGUCAGGUGUUUGUGAAGCCUAUGUCAGGUGUUUGUGAAGCCUAUGUCAGGUGUUUGUGAAGCCUAUGUCAAGUGUUUGUUAAGCUUAUGUCAGGUGUUUGUGAAGCCUAUGUCAGGUGUUUGUGAAGCUUAUGUCAGGUGUUUGUGAAGCUUAUGUCAGGUGAUUGUAAAGCCUAUGUCUUGACUUGUAGAGGGGCAACGCGUGAGAGUUUCGGGUCACGUUUCAUGUAGAGGUUUGUAGAGGAGCUUGUGUCAUUACACUGACCUGGACAUUGAUUUUUUUUGCUGUUGAUAAAUCCUUUUCUGAAUUAGAAUCAUGAUUUACUGACUGGUAGAAAAUGGGAGUCGGGGUCAACUAGAGGCUGUAAGAAAGUGGCACUUGAGAGACUCACUGGCCCGGACUUCCUGAUACCACACACACCGAUAUAUAGACGCAACACUACAGAAGGUGAUGGAGAGAUGGAGAGAACAAGAAGGAGUGAGAGAGAGAGAGAAAGAGAGAGAGAAAGAGAGAGAGAGAGAGAGAGAGACAGAGAGAGGAUAGUGUCCAAAACAGUGAGACAUGAACAGCAUAGAAACAUCAUACAUUUACAGAUAUUACAUACAUAUAUUUAUAUUUAUAUAUAUAUAUAUAUAUAAAUAUAUAUUAUAUAUAUUUAUAUAUAUAAUAUGUGUGUGUUUUAUAUGUGUAAUAUCAUCUACAAAUACGACCUAUAAAGAUAUAUAUGAUUUUUGUCCACACGUGCGCACCCACCUAUUCAGAUGCUCACAACCCAAUAUGCAUAUAUUAUAUUUUAUUCUCACUUACACAGAAAGUAUCACAUAAUAUACAACAAAUAUAUGUAUUUAUAUAUGUAUUCCUUUAAAAAAAAAAAAAGAGAAAAUAUAAAAAAAAGAUACAACCAAAACAGGACACUCGGGGUUAAAGUCGUGUUUUUUGUCAUCGUGCCUUGGGUGCGUCAAUUUACAUUCAUGUUUGGUCUCCAAGGAAACCGUAAACAUUUACUUCUGUUGUUUGUUUGUUUAUGUUUAUCUUGGCUGAUGUCUGUAAACCAAACCUAUCUAGCCACUGUGAUUGGGGGCCACACUAAGAGGUUGCGGACCUACAGUAUAUGGUGGUGAUAUGGUGAUCACCUUCCCUUAUUCGAGCCUAAAUGCUUGACUGAUUCUCCUCCCCGCUCUCUCUUAGGAAAGGAGAUAAUGGCGACCCACAAUUCCUUGUGGCAGAAACAUCGAACAAUCAGUACGACCCGCGUCAAUAACAUCCGCCGUUGCAUAAUCACGUGGCCUAGAGCAAGUGCAGUGGGAUUCUCCUAGCACUGCGGAUGUCUUUCCCAGGUCCUUGUGAAUUCUCCUUCACAUCUUUCUUUGACCUCUUUGACGUUUUCCAUCAAGGUCAAGGAAAAAUAGUUAGGAAAAGACACAGGAUGUAUUUUUGGACUACCUGACCACAACCUUAGUCCUCCUCACGAGGACUUUUCCUACUCCUGAUAAAGUCUUGGUUCAAACAGAGAGGCACAUUCACGUAUGUCUAUCUUUAAACUUCUCUUUUCUUUAAACUUCUCUUCUCUAUAAACUUAUCUUCUCUUUAAACGUCUCUUCUCUAUAACCUUCACUUCUCUUUAAACUUCUUUUCUCACUAAACCUUCUUUAAACUUCUCUUCUCUAUAACCUUCUCUUCUCUCUAAACUUCUCUUCUCUUUAAACUUCUCCUCAGACUGCUACAAGUCCUUAGGUCUAGUCUGGGUUAGGUUUUAGUCUUAAUCCCUAUCUCAGGUCUGACUGUAUUUAAUAUGGGGACUGGGACACACACGCACACACACACACACACACACACACACACACACACACACACACACACACACACGCACAGAGAGAGAGAGAGAGAGAGAGAUAGAACAUACAUACAAGAACACACACCCAUGCACACAUACACAGAAGCAAACUCACCCACACACACAGACCAACACACACACACACACACACAACGAACACGCACACCACCCGAUUGAUUCUACUGCAUUUGACAUCCCACGACACACACCACAUCCACAUCUGAAGCCAUGAGGCUGCCACAGCGGCUGAUACAGGCAAACAACUGAAAUGAAACGGACAGGAAAUAAACAAACAAACAAAAAUCGCCAAACAACUUGGAGAGAGGGGAUGCCAUGGGAGAGGUGCAUUGUGGGAUUGUCAUCACUUUAGAUCCAGGAUGUCCUCCUCGAAGGAUGUGGCCAAGGGGUUGGUCAGGGGCGGGCUUGACUCCUGUGGCCCAGCCUCUGAGCCGGUGGAGCAGUGAAGCUGGACAUCUGAUUCGCCGUCCACAAGCU
Clupea harengus (Atlantic herring) is the source of this 4540-nucleotide long non-coding RNA. The record is from Ensembl. NCBI's taxonomy places the organism in Eukaryota, Metazoa, Chordata, Actinopteri, Clupeiformes, Clupeidae.